AAAGGAUUAAAGAAAAGUCUAGCAUAAUAGAUUCAUUACAAAAGACAAUAGGGAGCAAACAUAUACAAAUUAUUUUAAGAUUUCUAAAAAGAACAAAAUUAUUUAAUAGAAUUUGAGUAUAUAAGAUAUUAAUCCAUGUUGAACCACACUCCAUACCAGUGGUGGCGGUAAUGCACACCUACAGAAUCAUGCCAACCGCCAUUAAACACCAGAAGAAGAAGAAGAAGAUUGUUCCACAGUGCAGGAUCUGCAGGGUCUGUACUGGAAUCCACAGAAGGCGUUGAUAUCAACAAACAGCUUUACAACCCAGUGAAACUCCCGUAGGCUCCGGACUGUCUCCACAGAUAGACCUUCUGUAAAUGUGAAUUUGGACCCGUCAAGUAUGGUGAUUAGGAGAUCUGCCAGGGGGGAGGAGUAGUGAGAUGAUGGAAAACUCCGGGAGCGUGUCGGCGUGGGCCCCAUGCUGACAGGCCUGACUGGCUGUGGGGAGCAGAGGGGAAAUCAAUGAGUGCUCACAAUAGAGUGCCAGCAUCCAGACAGCUAACAGCUCCCCGAGGCCAUGCGAGAGAGGUGGUGGAGGAGAAAAAGGGCGGAUGAUAGGGGGGAGGACAGAGAAAAAGGCUGAGGAAGGUGGAAUGAGCUCUCUAAAGGGACGGCUCGACUCAGCCCGCAGACCUUCAGUGUCUCUGGAGGGGGUGAAAAAAAAAGUGCUUUGUGCCAGAGAGUUCAGGACGGUGCCUUGGAGCAGCAGGAGAAGGGAUUGAAUCUCCUCCAGAAAAAAUAAAUAACGCCCUUGUCUGCAAAGUGACCGGUGCUCGCUCUCAGACUUUCAAGGCGGCUCGAGUUACUGUGGCCCCCAGGGAGGAGCAGACAGGUUGUGUCUGAGAGGAAUACCUCCCCACACAUGACAUCAUUCCUGGGAUGGCUGCAGCACAAAAAAAAUAGGCUCUCAGCUCAACCAAAACACAAGAACAGGACCUGAUAUUUUUCAGCAGACAUGUUUGAGCACAUGACGUUAUGUGGUGAGAACAUUGUGUGAUCCGUCAAAGGUUUGGGUUUGAUUGCUGACUGAUCAGGACCCUUGUUAGUCCAUGGAAAGCUUCAGGAAAGCUUCAAUUAUUUGCAUUCAAGAGACUUCAGAGUGGCAGUGCUCAGACAGUGAAGUUCCCAAUUUAAUAUGUGCGCACACACACACACACACACACACACACACACACAAAGUAAUAGUGCGAUCUUACAAGCCAGCCUUAGACUUGAGUCUAUUGUGUGAGUUGAAAUUAGCUCCUACCACCCUGCUCCCAAUGAGGGUGGUCUCCCCUGGGCGCUGUGGAUGACAUUAAAGGGAUUUGUCCGUGAAGAUCUGACUCUAUUACUGCUGAUAAUGCGCUGGCAGAAAACCACAGAGAGAUCAGAGAGUAAAGUAUGGCUCACAACUUGUAAUCAUGUAUAUCUUAAUAAUAUAAGCAAGCUUAUUUGCUUCAUCUGAAUCAUCAGAUGCUUCUUCUGUACAGAAGAAGCUUGCAGACCUUUAAUUGUUGGACCACAGUUAAGUAUCUGCAGCUGAUGGAUGCAUGGCAAGGGAUAGAAAAGUCAAAAUAUGUAAAGCAAAACGAAAGGAUACCACAGAGGACAGCACCACCUGCUGGUUGAGUCUGGGGAAUGAACUGGGGUGGGAAGGCUGAUUCAAACACACAGAUGUCACUGAGAUGAGCACAUCAAUGACUGUUUCUGCUUAACAUGCCCUUGAGGGACUGGUUGAGCUGCUGCACACAUCAAGACCAGCUGCUGUGCUUUUGAUGCUAAACGGCAGGUUGUAAAAUGUCAGUUAAAUCCUUGCAUUUCAUAAAGUUUGGGUAAUUGAUGAAAUGUCUGGUCCAGUGCCAUGCAAAAGUACUCAUGCUCCUUGAACCCUUUCCAACUUUGUCGGGUUACAAUCACAAACUGCAAUUUGAUGUAGUUAAACACCAAAUAGUGAAUAAUGUUAAAGUGGAAGGAUAAGGUAAAAUGGUUUUACAAAAUGUUUUACAGAAAUAAAUCUGAGAGUGAAAUGCAUUUGUAUUGAGCUCCUUUAAAGACUCUGUCUCUGUGGCAGGUGGAUCUCAGCCCCAGUCUCAAAUCUUUUGUGGACUUGAAUGUGUUUUAUUCCAGGAUCUCCCAAAUAUUAGCUCUACCCAUCCUCCCAUCCACUCUGACCAACUUCCCUGCCCACACAGCCUGAUGCUGGCGCCAUCAUGUUUUUUUCUCCAUCAUGGAGGGUGUGUUCAAGGUGAUAUUUAGUGUUAGUUUUCUGCCACACAGAGUUUUUAUUGUGGAUCAAGCUUUUAGGAAACUUUAAACUGGACAUUGCAAAUUUCUGUCAGCAAUGGCUUUCUUCUCAUCAAUGCUCCAUAAAGAAUUGUAGUGUCCAACUAAUAGUUGCAUGGGCCUUUUGCUGUUUGUUCUCUAACAAACCUCUAAAGCCUUCACAGAACAGCUGUUUUUAUACUGAGAAUAACUUAUACACAAGUGAACUCACUUUACUUAUCACACGAUCCUUAAAGACAAUUGAUUGCUCCGGUUUUUAUUUAGGUUUAUCAGAUUAUAUGAGGCUGAAUACAUAUCCAUGACACACUUUUUCAUCUGACUAAACAACCACCAAUUUUCCUUCCAGUUCACAACUUUGCACAACCUGGUGUUGGUCUAUCACAUAAGAUCCCAAUAAAACUUACUGGAUUUGAGCUUAGAAAUGUUACAGAGGGUUGAAAAUGUAUCAGUGACAAUAAAGCAAAAAGACCAGGUUGCUCCUGUUAUGCCUCACAUUCCUUUCCAAACACAGGUUGAAGAUGUUUUCUGUCAUGCUGUGGUCUUUCCUGGUCUCCAUAAUCUGUUGUUGACAUCCGUCUGUGGCAUGACGCACCACAUAAUACUGUGCAAACAUCUCAGCUGAGAAUGGACUCUGGACCUGGAUCACCAGUGUGCUGUAAACCACCGAUCCACCCACAUGUUGCCGCAUUUGGGACCUGCAGUACAAAAAAAUAAAAACAGCAAAAUGACUCAUCAUUGUGUUAAGAAGGAGCCGCCCAGGUUAAUCUGCGAGCGGCAUCAGCACAACAGUUUUCUGUAACACCACAGCACCUGACCCUACGCUCACCUCGCCACAGCUCCCUCUUCCUCUGGCUGUUUGGACUGCGUUGCCAGGCAGUGGUCUCUGUAAACACAGCACCUGGCAGCUUCAGCAGGAAACCACUACGAGCUCUGUGGAAAAUUAGAUACCAUUACUGCAAACACACCCGUUUUGCUCGGAUAACUGGAUAUCUUUGCAAGAGUUGAACUGUGUCAAUCUCUUCUCUUUUGUUUUUGUAUGUUUUCCUACAAGAACCUUGAUUUUCCCCAACAAUCCUAUCUGAAUGUUUACUCAUGAACUCCCAGCAUCGGCUCCCACUCCUCAUUACCACAAGCAACAUUUCACCAAUUAACUCUCUCUCUAAUUUAUAUUACAAACAUGGCCAAGAAAGUGUCAUUUACUGGACCUCCAUGCUGCUUAUUCCCCAGCUCAUCAAUUUCCUGUUAUUGUUGGCAGUUGAGCUGAAACACCAGCAUUGAUCCCUCACCCUGGGAGAAGAUAAGGUGGGGGAAUCGAGAUGGAUUCCAUAUCUAUUAUCUAAUGGAAUUCCUCCUCCCAGAAAGGGCUAUGGAUUUUCUGCCACUGGAGCUGUGAAAAUGUGUGUCUGUGCUGGCCUCUGCUGUGUGUGUCAGUGUAUGAGUGUUCUCUCACGGAGCGGAUAGUGACUCUUUUUUUGUGGGGAAAAGUUAAUGCUGUGAGGGGAAUGUGUUGGAAAGUGGCAUUGAGGGUUUAAGGAGUGCUGAAGCAUUCAGGGAAAUGCUCACUCUGUAAAUGUGUAUUGACCUGCUGCUCUUUAAAUGGCCUUCUCAGGAAGCUACAGAUGCAUAAGGUCAUGUUCAUUAUGCGUUCCAUCAAACUGUCUCAUGAGUGUGCAAUUUUGUUUAAAUGGGGUGGUAUUAGGAAUAAUUUGCAAAUAAAAGUUUUGAAGAUGUGGUAUUUAUCCCAGCUUUC
Long non-coding RNA from Girardinichthys multiradiatus, 4054 nucleotides. RefSeq lists it as uncharacterized. The transcript is spliced from 4 exons. NCBI's taxonomy places the organism in Eukaryota, Metazoa, Chordata, Actinopteri, Cyprinodontiformes, Goodeidae. The record is from RefSeq and is a predicted model, not a curated record.